UUCUUUCUUUUUUUCUAGUCCGUGUGUGUAUUUUUGCUGAUUUUCUCGGAAGUUUGUUAGGUAAUGGGCCAUGCAGAAAGCAAUUUCCUCUUUAGGAAAAAGAAAAGAAAUUGUAUGGGAAUUGAAGUUCGGGGAAGUAGAGGAUUCUAAAACAAACAGCGGCCUGUCUUUGACGCAUGAAAACUUUUGGAACCUUCCAAACGAAAUAAAAACAGAAAAGUUAUCAACUUUGAAUAUUGAAAAUUCCAAUUGCCAGUCUCUGUUUAAAUACAAAUUCUGUUGACUGUUUAUCUUCCAUUUCUACAGUACAUCAAACCCAGAACAGCCCGACACAAAAUCAUUGUAGAAAACAGAAUACCUUUCACUAGUAUCUAAGAUUUGUUCUGAUCUUGAAACUCACCUUGGGUUUGCUGACAAAGAAUUGGCCGAAUUUGUUAUUCAUUUGGGUCGUAAUUCUGAUACUUUCCAUCAAUUUGAUUCUAAAUUGAAGCGAAAUGGUGCUCAAUGGCCUGACUAUUUGGUCAGAACUUUCAUCACUGCCAUUCAUUCCAUUCUUCCUCCGCCCAAAUCAGAGGGUGGUAGAAUUGGGAGUGCUGUCUACAGGGGUAGGGUUUCAAGAGUCAUGGCUAAAGGAUGCUUUGUUCAAUUGGAUGGUGAUGAUGACUUUGGAGGGAAAGAGGGUUUGCUUCAUCAAUCUGAUUUUUUGGUUGGGAAAGAGGUUAGGAGAGGGGAUGAGGUUUAUGUGAAAGUUGUUUCUGAUUCUCCUGGUCAAAAAGGAUUGAGGCUUUCUAUGAAGGAUGUUGUCGAUCGGAAUACUAUUGGUGAGGAGCGGAAUACAAUUGGUGAGGAUUUGGGAUUGUGCAAGAUGGAAAGAGGCUUGAGUAAGACUGGUGUUAGCGGAAUUCAUAUAGAGGAGGCCUAUUAUGAUGCUAAAACAAGGAUGGUAAAGAUGGAGAGAAUGAAUUCUCCAGAUAGGUAUGAUGUGAAUCAGCUGAUUGCUUCAGGUGUUUUGGGUUUGAGUGAGUAUCCAAUUAGUCAAGAGGAUGAUGAUGAUCCUAACGUUGAGCAAGGGAUUGAGAUAGAGUUGAAUGAUGAUGAGCCAGCAUUUUUGCAUGGGAAGACGAGUCAUAGUAGUGGUAUUGAUAUGUCGCCUGUGAAGAUUAUGAAGAAUCCAGAUGGGUCAUUGUGUCGUUCAGCCGCACUUCAGUCUGCCCUCAUGAAGGAACGAAGAGAGAUAAUAGAAGAGAAGAUGAGGAGGAUGGUUGAUUGCAUACCCAAGGAUCUUAAUCGUUCUUGGGAAGACCCAAUUCCAGAGAUUGGAGACAGGUGUUUGGCACAGGAGAUCAGAGGUGUUGAUUUAUCUGCAUUUAACAUGCCAAAGUGGAAGAAGGAUGCAUUUCAGAAGUCAUUUACUUUUGGGCUGAGGCCGAAGUUAUCUUUUCAGGAACAGAGGCAUAGCUUGCCAAUUUACAAGUUGAAGAAGGAAUUAAUUCAAGCUGUGCUUGAUAAUCAGGUGCUUGUGGUGAUUGGUGAGACUGGUUCAGGGAAGACUACUCAGAUAACCCAGUAUCUUGCGGAGGCUGGAUACACAGCUGGAGGGAAGAUUGCGUGUACACAGCCUCGGAGGGUAGCUGCAAUUUCUGUAGCGAAGAGGGUAGCUGAAGAGGUUGGAUGCCGUUUAGGAGAGGAAGUUGGUUAUGCUAUUCGCUUUGAGGAUUGCACUGGACCUGAUACUGUGAUCAAAUAUAUGACAGAGGGUUUACUUCUCAGGGAAAUUUUGACAGACAAGAAUCUGUCUCAGUACUCUGUCAUAAUGCUUGAUGAGGCUCAUGAGAGGACAACUUACACUGAUGUUCUUUUCGGCCUGCUGAAGCAGCUUUUGAAAAGGAGAUGUGAUCUUCGUCUGAUUGUCACAUCUGCGACACUUGAUGCAGAAAAAUUUUCUGGUUAUUUCUUUGACUGCAACAUUUUCACUAUCCCUGGAAGAUCUUUUCCUGUGGAGAUAUUAUAUACCAAACAGCCAGAAAAUGAUUACCUCGGUGCAGCUCUUAUAACAGUCCUGCAAAUCCACUUGACAGAACCUGAAGGAGACAUUCUCCUCUUUUUGACAGGCCAAGAAGAAAUAGAUUGCGCUUGUGAGUCACUCGAUAUGAAGAUGAAAGAACUAGGUAAAGAUGUUCCAGAGUUGAUUAUCUUGCCGGUUUAUAGUGCACUUCCAGGUGAAAUGCAAUCAAUGAUAUUUGAACCAGCUCCACAAGGGAAGCGGAAAGUGGUUGUGGCAACCAAUAUUGCUGAGACAUCUUUGACAAUUGAUGGAAUUUUUUAUGUUGUUGAUCCUGGAUUUAUGAAACAAAAUCUAUAUAAUCCAAAGAUAGGGGUUGAUUCUCUGCUUGUAACCCCUAUUUCACAAGCAUCAGCCAAACAACGUGCUGGACGUGCUGGGCGUACUGGCCCUGGAAAGUGUUACCGUCUAUACACUGAGAGUGCAUUUCGCAAUGAGAUGUCCCCUGCCACAACUCCAGAAAUUCAAAGGAUUGACCUUGCGUAUCCUACACUCACCUUGAUGGCCAUGGGAAUUAGAGACCUCUUCUCUUUUGAUUUUAUGGAUCCACCUUCAUCCCAAGCCCUCAUUUCUGCUAUGCAACAACUCUAUGGUCUAGGGGCUCUUGAUUAUGAGGGACUUCUAACAAAAACAGGGAGGCUAAUGGCUGAGUUUCCUCUUGAACCACCAUUAUCUAAAAUGUUGUUGGCUAGUAUAGACCUUGGGUGCAGUGAUGAGAUUUUGACUAUUAUUGCCAUGAUACAGACUGGUAACAUUUUCUACCGGCCUAAGAAGAAACAAGCUCAAGCAGAUCAAAGGAGGGCUAACUUUCUCCAUUCAGAAGGAGAUCAUCUGACUUUACUUGCUGUGUAUGCGGACUGGAAAGAAAAGGGUUUCUCGGCACCUUGGUGUUCUGAGAAUUUUCUUCAAUAUCGAUCUUUGAAGAGGGCACAGGAUGUCAGGAAACAGCUUUUGACCAUCAUGGAUAAAUAUAAGUUGGAUGUUGUCAGUGCUGGAAAGGAUUCUACUAAGAUAAGAAAAGCUAUUGCAGCAGGAUUCUUUUUCCACGCAGCUAGAAGGGAUCCACAGGGGGGUUAUCGGACCCUAGUUAGCGACCAGACUGUUUAUAUCCACCCUAGCAGUGCACUUUUCCAGAUACAACCAGUUUGGGUUAUCUAUCAUGAGGUGGUAAUGACAAGGAAGGAGUACAUGCAUGAGAUUACUGCCAUACAGCCUACAUGGCUUGUAGAGCUGGCACCGAGAUUAUUUAAAGCCUCAGAUCUAAUGAAGAUGAGCAAGCACAAACGCCAAGAACGAAUUGAACCACUUUAUGAUAGAUAUCAUGAACCUAAUUCAUGGCGCCUCAGUAAAAGGCGAGCUUAAUUCAUGCACCAGUGAAUAUCAGAAUAAACUGGUUGUUGAGGUUGAUUUCACAAAUCUUUUUCAUCCAUGCCAGAGAUAUAACUAGUUUUACACUAUCAAUUAUCUUAGUGGUAUUUGGGCUUGAAUUCUAAGGCUUAAUGUCUGGCAUCUGAUCAUAGGGCAAGAUGGCAGCUUGAAGUGAAAAUGAGCUGAUGAACUAAGCACAUCUCUACUAUAGCAAUCAAGGGAACUGAUCUAUUUUCUUUAUUGCAUCUUUCUUUUAUAAUCUACCAUUUUGCUUGACAUCUUGCUUUAUAUCCAUGUCAUUUAUUUAGGAAAUUGAGCUGUCAUUUAAAGUAUUGAAUAGUGCGACAUGAUUGAAGAGGUAAAUUAUUUUUGUUUUAGGAGAUGACGACAAUUUCAUUAUAUUUUUCUUUUGAUUGUUAAAAAAGAAAUUGUUCCACUUUGUUCUUGGGAAAAAUUUACAAGUUUUGUAUCUUAGGUCUCUUGCUGUCUUACUUGGCUCUCUUAGAGAUAUUUUUUCCCCUUUUCAUUAAGUUGCUAUAAAGAACCCCUAGAAAAUCCACAUGAAAUGGCAUCUGCUUAUCAUAAUGCCCUAGUGUCAAAGCAGAGAGACAGGGAGAGAUUUCUUUGAUGCUUUGAUCUUUCUCAUCCAUCUUGUAGAGAAAAUAGAGAAUGAAUUAGAGAGAUUAGAGAGUUUCUUUGCAAGUGAAGAAAACCUUAGGAGAUAUUCAUUCACCGGCAUAAAUUCCCUUUUACUGCAAAAACAUUUAUCUUUAAUGCCUAAGAUCUAUGAAGCACGGACAUGGAUGUGGACACGGGUAAAGGUAUGGAUAUGGCAGGGACAUGAAAAAGUUAAUAUAUAUGUAUAUAGAAAAUGAUAAUAAUUGUAUAAUAUAAAUUUUAUAUAAAUUCCAUUCAUAAAAAUGAAAUUAGAAGUUUAAAAAUUUUCAAUCUCUUCAUCUUCACCCACUUCAUCUACAAAUAACAAUAUUUAAGAAAGAAACAAGUUUGUGUAAAAGAAUUUCAGAUGGAGAUAAAGUGGGGAACAAAUUGAAGAGAUAGAGAAGUAGAGAGAGGGAUUUCUGUUUGUUGAAAUAAGCGUGAGAAGUAUAGAGAUUAAGUGUGGUUAGUGUUUUAUUAAGAGACUUAUGUUUUAUAUUUUUAUAAUUUGAUCCAUUAACUUUUAACUUAUUUUAAAAAGUACCCCAUAUUUUUCAAGAUUUCCCCAAAAUUUUGCAAAGUUUAUUACUUCCUGUUGGCGUCUCCCUUGCGUGUUCCCAUCUGUAAAAAAGAAAAACAAAGAACAUGUUUUCUGGCAUGUUCCAUAUGCGUCCUCGGCAUGUCCCUCGGGAAAACGCAUACGGCAACCCCUAGGAGUGUCAGCUUCAUAGCCUAAGAUUAAAAUGACUUUAUUAUUUUUCAAACUUUUUGGUCAGAGAGACUAAUUAUUGAGCAGGUAAAUGGCAAAUAUUAACUGACUAGUAAUGGGCCAUCAAUAACUCUUCUUAACUAGUCAAUUACUUCCAGUAGCUUACAUAGCUGAUUGAUAAUUAGCACCAGUAGCUUUUGGAAACCCUGACACUUUUACUGUGUUGAUAUUGCAAUUGUGACACAUAAACUUUGGUGGUUGUAAUUUUAGUUGAACUUUCUGAUCAGGUUGAGGCUGUAUUGACUUUUAGGUUUCUGGGACUCUUUUAAUUGGUAAUGACUAAAUAGUUCAUAUUUGUAUUUUGGUGGUUUGCAAUCUGUGAAAUUGUGACUGGAUUUUCAUUUUAUUUGGCUUUAGAUCGGUACACUACAUGUUUUUGGGAUCUUGUCAUUUUGUAGGUGAUGCUGACUUCAUAUUGGGUGAUAGUUGGCUAUUCUCAGAACAGGUAAUUGGCAUUGAUCAACCUGUGGUGGUUGUCUAAAGCAAUGAAAUUUUUUACCUUAAAUCUCAUGCUUGGAGUUCUUUCUUUGGCUCGCAUUUAUCUCGAUCCAUAGCUUUUUUAACUGUUAAACAUGCAAUGAAAAUUGUUGAGUGUCAUUUCCAAUUAUAUUGAUUCAUUGUGUUACCAUUAAUGGUGUCUGAGACUUGUACCAUGAUGGAGAAGAAAUUCUUAGGCAAAUUUGGUUUACAAGUUUUCAUUUAGGAUAAACUAAUAGGAGCAAGCCAUGUCAGCAUAAAUUAUAUUUAUGCAUGGUCAAGGAAAUAAUUUAGUGAUGGCAAUUAUGAAAUUUUUUUGAUGUGGUGAGUUUUUAUUUGUUUUAUCAAUAGCCAUGUGGUAGAACAACUCUGCCUAAGAAUUUCUUUUCGUCAAGGAGAUUUUCGGAGGAGCCUUCUUCGUUUCUGUCCUAGCUUCAAAUGUGUAGUUCCAGUGAGUAUUAAGAUUUCCUAGUUUCAUCCCCCGCAGUCCCCUGUAGAGCAGUCUCCUUUAGAGUCUUCCCUUCCUAAAGCCUUUCUAACUAAGCCCUCUCUUUCUAAGGCGCUUGGAGAUCCAGUUUGAGUGGAAGUUCCCGUUGGAGUGGAGUCUUUUACCAGAGAUUUUGGUGUCAUUUCAUGUAAUUCAUUAGAAAAUUCUUCCCCUUUAGUCUAUUAAACGUGAAGUUUUAUAUUUAAUGAAUGCUAAUGUCCUUAUGUGGAAUUUGUUACUCUCUGUUCAUUUCUAUUUAUUGACUUAAAUUGGCUGUCUAGUAUUCUGUCCAUUUUUAUAUAAAUCUAUGUCAUGAAAAUUGGUAGUUCAAUCUGGUUUUGCUUCUUUUCUGCUUUUGCUUAGAUGAUAGGUACCAUUUGUAUGUGCUAGUUGAUAUUCAUUUAUGGCCCAAAGAAUAGAAAUAUAAGAUUAUGAGAGCAGUAAAAUAGUUAUUUAAAUAAAGAAAUUUGUAGAAAUAGUUAUUAGAGCAUCUCAAAUGCACUUUAUAUAUAUCAAAUUCAUUAUUUUAAAGAUAGUAUUACAAAAUAAGAAGUCUAAUGCACCCUUUAUUGUUUAAAAUGAAGUAAAGAGUUGGUUUGGCUCUCUACAUUUGGAAAGCCGAACUUUACUCUCGAUUUUGAGUUUAAUAAGUUCAUUACAAGUUUUCAUACACUUUAUUAAUUAAUAUUUUUAAUUUAUUUUUUAUUGGCUAAAGUUGAAAAGGAAAGGAAAUAGAACUUAAAAUCAUUAAUGCUUAUGAAAAUAAAAGUAAAAUAAAGAGCAGACUUUAAAGCGUAUUGGACUUAAAUAAAAUCUUUUACUCUUUAUAUUUAAAUAUUCCUUAAAUGCUCUUUGUUAUAAACAUUAUGCUCUUGCUGAUGCUCUUAGGAUUCACAUCUGGUAAGCAUAUAGUAGUGUGUGCAUCACUUGUUGAAUGCAUUUAGGUGAGUAGUAUGAACUAAGAACAUCUUAGAAUGUGAGGAAAAAUAUGUAUAUCUGCAUAUUGCUGUAACAUAUGUUUGUGGACUAUCAAGCAUGCAUGCCCCUGAAAAAACAUUAAAGUCACACUGGUUGCUAAUGGAAGAUAUUCUUUUAAAAAUAAUCCUUGUACUUGAUAGUACAUUCUCAAUCCCUGUCAAAUGGUAUAGAUGGAAAUUAGAUGGUUAUAUAUGCUGCAAGUAUUAGUUUUACAUAGAGAAACCAAAAUCUGCUUUAGUUGGCAUGUAAAAUCACUCUCUCUCUCUCUCUCUCUCUCUCUCUCUAAUGCAGCAAAUGAAUUACUUAGAAGGGUUAGUCUUAGAUUAUUGAUUUUUCUUGCUUGGAAGUGGAAUGCUGAGUUUGCAGUGAUUUUUACCUCAAUUGGAUUGAGUGGAGGUCAUCUUAAGCUUUGAGUUUUGCUUAAUCCACACUGGAGUAAUCAUGGCGUUGCAGAUAUUUUGUUGAUUCUGGUAAAGAGUAGAUCAUAUGUUAUUUGGUGAAGGUGGCUUUUGAAAAACGUAGAGAUGGCAAAACUGGUUGAAGGGGAAGCCUGAUUUUCUUUUGUUAUGGAUAGAAAGGGCUUCAGGAGGGUGCACAUUAUUUAUGGCGGAUGAAAUGCCAACAAGAGAUAUACUGAAUAUUAGUAAAUAUUUGAUUUAUGUAACUAGAGUUAUAUAUGUUUGAAGACAAUGUUAAAUUAUGCAUGCUAUGCUCCUUUUGUAA
Molecule: RNA transcript, 7521 nt
Organism: Ricinus communis (castor bean)
Lineage: Eukaryota; Viridiplantae; Streptophyta; Magnoliopsida; Malpighiales; Euphorbiaceae
Gene name: probable pre-mRNA-splicing factor ATP-dependent RNA helicase DEAH5
Exons: 4
Source: RefSeq, a predicted model, not a curated record